CAGGAGAAGGCAGCGAAAGAUAAAGGACUGGGACAAGCAUCAUGCAUCGUAUGUUACCUGUUUCCAUCUUAGUGUGGAGCAAGCUCGUAACAGUGCACGUGCCCAGCUUCGUGAGCAUAGCUCACUUGCUUUCGAUAACUACCUACGAUGGUUUCUUGAAAAUGCUCGAGUUGAGAUAUGCCCGCCGGCAUACAACGAUGAUAUUCUUGAAGAUCCUGCAAACUUUGAGGAUCUAUCGAAGCAUCAGUACAACAAAACUGUCAGGGAAGGGGUAAAGUGUUCCCUUCUUUACUUUCCUGUUGGCCGUAUUACACAUGUUUGAAUGGCUAGCGUGUUACUUCGUUCUCAUCCGCAGCACAACCAGACCAAGAAAGGAGCUGAUGAAAGCUAGUCUAUUCUGGAGAAGACACCGGUUGGAGAAGGCAAUGAAGAUGGUUCACUACGAGCAUUCCUCAAGCGUCAUGCCAAGAAGUUAAGGCGGUUAUCGAACCUUCUCGGUUGCUGUGACCCAGAAUAUGAUGAACCAUCUGCCUCUAGGCCCGGUACACCAUCAGACCCCUUAUCUCACCAUCAGGGGGACGCUGCGAGGUCCUCAUUUGCUUAUAUGAAUGAUGAGGGUGCGGUCACCCAAGAGGUUGAUGAUGACAUGACUUUGGCAGACGCUCAAGUUUGGUCCGCAUACAUGUUGAAGCCUAGGCAUCCCAUAAAACGGUACACGCACAUUGACUUUGACAACAUAGGCAACCCAAAAGGUGGUCACAGGGAGCUCGCGUAUGGCGAGCUUGGAUGAUGAGGCGGAGGAGGAAGAGGAGGAAGAGGAGGCUCGUCCUGCUAGGAGGAAGAAGAUAACCAAUAGGGAUGGCACUAGGAACACGCGCG
Molecule: long non-coding RNA, 879 nt
Organism: Triticum aestivum (bread wheat)
Lineage: Eukaryota; Viridiplantae; Streptophyta; Magnoliopsida; Poales; Poaceae
Exons: 3
Source: RefSeq, a predicted model, not a curated record